CUUAAAUUUAUAUUUUUAUAAAUGCUACCAGUACAUACAACUUAUUGCUACACUUAUGUUUCUCAGAAGUAAGAUUUUUUUAAUAAUGCAUAGGCGGGACGAUGUACUUUAUUACUUCAUCGUAAUCAUUCGCAAACCUUAUUCCAAUUUCAUUAAAUAGAUAUAAAAAUAAUUGAAUGUCUGCGGGCUUUUGUGGAUGUUUGUUAUUGAACAAAUGAAUAGAAGGCAAUUCUAACCUAACCCAAAGAAGAAUUUCACAGGACAUCAUUCUUUAAUGAAUAAAUACUGUGUAGCCAGAACAAUGAAGCCUUUGAAGACAGCAUGAUCACUGCAGUGUCAUUUUUUUAUUUACAUCACAAUUUGAAUGCAUGUUACACCUACUUCGAAACAGGACUUGAAAGUUUUAAUACUAUUUUAGCAAGAAUUUAAAAAAGACGUCCAUGCAUACCGACAUACCCUAUUCCACUCCUAGCAGCAAAUAUGCCUCCUUAAGUAAUAAGGGAAUCCUAAUGCCAUUAAAGGGGCUCGAAAUGUUGAAAUACAUUAACACUGAGUAUUGAAUGAGCAAUUGGAUGACUAUGUAACAUUAUACAGGUAUUUAAAUAACACCCAGAAUAAAAAAAGGAAAUUUGGGAAA
Molecule: long non-coding RNA, 637 nt
Organism: Bombyx mori (domestic silkworm)
Lineage: Eukaryota; Metazoa; Arthropoda; Insecta; Lepidoptera; Bombycidae
Exons: 3
Source: RefSeq, a predicted model, not a curated record